Long non-coding RNA from Patella vulgata (common limpet), 4763 nucleotides. RefSeq lists it as uncharacterized. The record is from RefSeq and is a predicted model, not a curated record. The transcript has 3 exons. NCBI's taxonomy places the organism in Eukaryota, Metazoa, Mollusca, Gastropoda, Patellidae.
UCCUUUAGUAAAAUCGGAAAAAAAAAGAGUGGUAGUUUCAAUUAUUAAUUUUCUCCUGUAUGAAUUUGUAACGAAUAUACACGUAUUAACAAAGCUUUCUUAUAAAACUGGGUAUUUUUGCUAAUGAAUUCAACUUUUUACUCGAUUGACACUGUUUGUGAAUGAAUCAAGCAUCCCCGAGGUCUCUUCAGAUCUAUAUGUGGAGUAAGGAUACGAGUUGAACAUUCAACUGGUGGAACAGUAAAGAAUAAAGCAUGUCUAAGGGAAGGUGGUGAGAGGGUUGAGAUUACAUCAAAUAGAGGAACCUUGAGUAACUAUAAACCUGAUGAUGACCGAUCUUUUGAAUAUAAUGAACAUGGAAAUAUUAGAUACGAUUCUCGACAGACAAACAUGAUUGACAGAAAGAAUGUUCUAGGACCAAGAUUGAUCCAAAUGAAAACUUUAAUUACACAAGAUCCAAACAUUAUUAACAACACUACUCGUUAUCCAACUUUGUUAGGAGAGGAAGCUGGUCAGGGAAAUGUUGAUUGUGUGGAUUUUCUGUUAAAAUCUGGAGCUUCGGUGGAUUUAAAAGAUAGUGAGGGUGAAACAGCAACUUGCCGCUGUUUAAAAGCCAGUGAUGAUGUAAGUGCUGAUGACAAACUGAACUGUUUAAAGUUAUUAAUAAAAGCUGGUGCCAAUUUAUAUGUUGGACAUAACAAAGAUGGUAUGACACCACUGAUGAUAGCAGCAAGUGUUUGGUAUGAUCUUUGUUUAAAGGAAAUAUUAAAAUUGGGUUAUCUCAGUCGACGGAAUGUAAAAUGGAGAGUUGUUGAUGAUAAUUAUUAUAAAUACAGGCGUGGAGACUAUUGGGGACACGGAAACAAGUUACAUAUUUAUAAUCAGAAAUAUCGUACCACUGUAGAUUACAGAGAUAAAAAUGGUAGAAACGCUCUUCAUCAUUGUAUUAGAAAAAAUACAUCCACAUCAUCGUCACGGGUCAUCGCAUGUAUACAUCAUCUACAUGAAGCAGGCUGUAGUUUCACUCUAAAAUCAAAUUUUUCAUUUGACUGUUUCAUAGAACAAGCUUUACGAGCUGGUUCAGUGGCACCUGUUGUUAAGUAUUUGAUAGAUUUGGGGAUUACGGUUAACUUGAAUGAAUGUUUACAAUUAGCAGCUAUUAAUCUUCCAUGAAAGUUUUGCUAGAAGCUGGGGCUGAUUUAAGGUAUAAACAAGACAAUUGCACAUUAUUGUCCCCCGCCUUUUGAAGAAAGCAGGGGACUAUUAAAAUGGGUUCGUCCGUCUGUCUGUCUGUCUGUCUGUCUGUCUGUCCGUCUGUCUGUCCCGUCUGUCUGUCCGUCUGUCUGUCCGUCACACUUUUUGGGACACAAUAACUCUCUUCCUAAUUGAGCUAGAAUGUUCAAACUUGGUGUAUGUGUUUAUUAGGUCAAUGCCUUGAUGGAGUUCGAAGAUGAGCAUUUUCCGCUUAGGGUAAGCAGAGAUAAGCAAUUUGAUUGGUUGAUGCUUUGGGACACGAUAACUCUCUUCCUAAUUGGGCUAGAAUGUUCAAACUUGGUGUAUGUGUUGAUUAGGUCAAUGCCUUGAUGGAGUUCGAAGAUGAGCAUUUUCCGCUUAGGGUAAGCAGAGAUAAGCAAUUUGAUUGGUUGAUGCUUUGGGACACGAUAACUUUUAAUUGAGCUAGAAUGUUCAAACUUGGUGUAUGUGUUUAUUAGGUCAAUGCCUUGAUGGAGUUCGAAGAUGAGCAUUUUCCGCUUAGGGUAAGCAGAGAUAAGCAAUUUGAUUGGUUGAUACUUUGGGGCACGAUAACUCUCUUCCUAAUUGAGCUAGAAUGUUCAAACUUGGUGUAUGUGUUGAUUAGGUCAAUGCCUUGAUGGAGUUCGAAGAUGAGCAUUUUCCGCUUAGGGUAAGCAGAGAUAAGCAAUUUGAUUGGUUGAUGCUUUGGGACACGAUAACUUUAGUUCUAAUUAAGUGAGAUUGAUGAAACUUGGUGUAUAGAUUUAUUAUAUGAAUACCUUAACUAAGUUCGAUAAUGAAUAUUUUUUGCUGAGGGUAAGCAGAGUGAUAAGCAAUUUGAUUGGUAGAAACUUUGGAACACAAUAACUCUCCUUCUAAUUGAGGUAGAAUGUUCAAACUUGGCAUAGGUGUCUAUUAGGUGAAUGUUUAAACUUGAUGUAUAUGUAGAUGUUCAUUAGGUGAAUGUCUUGACUGAGUUCAAUAAUUAACAUUUCGAGCUGAAGCUAAGCAGAGCUAAUCGAUUUCAUUUGUCGAUGGUUUGGGACAAGAUAAUCUUGAUUCUAUCUGAUAGAGAGUGAUGAAACUUAGUGAAAAAAAUAAAUGUGCGAUUAAUUAAUAUGUGUCAUCUAUUUAUUUUGCAAUUUCGGCGGGGGACAUCAGCCUCACUGUUGGCUUGUUGCAUAUGGCUUUGUUACAAUUACUUCAGAGGGAAUUUUAUACCUUAACUAGCCUUCCAUCUGAUCUUAAUCCACAUAGCGAAAUGAAACCAGUGCUUAAGUUUUUGUUGGAAAACAAUUUAGAUCCUAAUACAGUAUGCCAUGGUGGAGGUACACCUCUGCUGUAUUCAUGUUGGUACAGAUGGUAUGGUUAUCGUUUUCCUUUAGACUAUUUCGUGUCAGAGAAUGUCUACAUCCAGAAAUUCACAUAUGGUAAUUUAGACUGGUGCUAUGAGUUUUGGGUUGGUGAUGAUGUGUGUACAGCCUAUGAUACUGAGAAGAAUUUGGAAUUAUUGAAGUUUUUGUAUGAUUGUGGCCUCUCUAGAAAAAAAUGUCUGACUUUUAAAGGAGAACAUAAUCCUGAUGAUGUAGCGAGUUGUGCAAUGUCAGGCUUUAAAGAAGAGCCUGAUUCCGUGAUUUGUGAAUGGUUAGACAAUAUGUCUGCCAUGCCGCCAUCUUUAAUGUAUAUGUGUAAACACAGGGUACGCGAGUUGUUGGGUAGGAAUAUCAAAAACAAAGUUUUACAUCUUGGCCUACCCGUUGCAGCACAGAAUACAGUACUGUUGAAAGAUAUAUUGUCUAGUGACUGCUUUGAUGAUUAGAUAUUUAAUCUCCGAUACCACAUGUCAUGACCAAACUAGAACAUAAAGAACCUGUCACAGACUUUGUUGAAUACAAAUUAUCACAUAACGUAUAUAUACAAGUCUGGACAUGAGGCAUCUGUCAAACUUUGUUAGGCACAAACUAUCACAUUGUAUAUACUUUCUGUGAUAUUUUAUGUAUAACAAAGACUGUGACCGGUACCUUAUUCCCAGGCUUGUCCAUGAUGCUAUGUUUUUACUUUUUUAUAUGUCUACACUGAAUGUAUUUUGUUGAUUUGUUGAUAGGAUAUCAUACUUAUUUCCUUGUGAAACUCAAAAGACUGAGGUGAAUAUAUUAUUUUAAAUUGACAAAGAUUCUUGUUGAAUUUUUAAUCUGGGAUUAUUUUUGCCCCAAACUUUAAACCCAAACCCUAAAAAAAUUCAGAUUUUUUACCUCUUGAAACUUUGUAGUUGUUCUACUAGUCAGAGUUAUCACCCUUUGAAACUGUGUAAUUGCUGUACAAAUCACAUAUUUAACCCCUUUCUCCCAGUGUGCUCAUUCCGUACUACUCCACUAUACACAUGGUUAAUCCGUAGGAUUCCCACGAUUUCAAAUUAUCUGCCCUGGCCUUGAUUGUAGCUAUAGUCUACGAUCCAAUCAAACCUGUCUUUUCGCCUUUGUUUUAAUAAGGGUAGAUAAUCAUAUUCAUGUCCAUUUACUGAAUGAUUUAUGUAAAUAAUGUAUAUAUUUCUAAUUCGUUUAUAUUUAAUUGUAUUAUCAAAAUCUGUAGUAUGUUUCGCAGAUUUCAAAUAUGUAUAACAUCUAUAUGUUUUGCUUUUGUUAUUAUUAUUAAUAUUCGUUCUUAUCUGAAAUGUUUCAUUCUGUUAUGUUUAUUAUUAUUGAACUUAUACUUUGCAAUUUGAUUCACAGGAACUUGUCUGCAAUAUCACGUGGACGUAAAACUCUCAAUAACGAACAAUUCUCAAUAAAACUCUUAAACCUACAUAAAACUCCACAGUGUUCAUUAAUAUAUUAUAUAAUUUGUUGUCAAUAAAUACGCAAUUAGAAUAAUUUGGACUUUUAAUUUAGGCCAAUUCCUAACCUUAUCAGAUGAGAGUUACUUAACUUUGCAAACUUCCUUUUCAAUUAACGAUUUAUGAGAUUGGUCGAUAAAAAUAGCACAAUCAUCAAGGGCGGAUAACUUGAAAACGUGUCUUCCCCCAUAAAUUAACCCAGGGUUUAGUGGAGUAGAACAGAAUUAAACCACUGGGGAUACCGAAACUAGUGAGGAUAGUGGACAUGUAUGGCGGUUUAAAAUAGCAGUUUAUAUAAUUUUAACUCUACAUUAAUUGUUUCAUAGUGUUUAUGGAUCCACUACCAGUUACCAAGUAAUUCUUUGGAGGAUUCGGCUGACGAUGUCGUGUAUUUCUAGAUUUUUGGAUAUUUUAACAUGUUGUAUGAUGCGGUCACCCAGACUGUCAAUCCGUCCGUCCAAUACUUGUACUCACUCCAGUUCUGAAUUUGAUUAAAUGUUUCGAAUUAGUCCAGCAAAGAUUACAGAAACUGUCCACCAAUUUGUUAUAACACAAAUGCUUACACUAUCACUCACCCGGGUGAGGGUGGUUAGCGCGUGCGCGUUGUAUCAUAAGGUCUGCCAUUGAGUCCACUGGUGUGGUUACAAUUCCCCGGUUGUAUGUGACAAGGAGAAGGGUCGAUUCGUGGGCUUUCCCG